This 257-nucleotide ribosomal RNA is filed under the name uncultured bacterium. RNAcentral's name for it is "partial small subunit ribosomal RNA". It matches the Rfam family "Bacterial small subunit ribosomal RNA", at positions 26 to 286 of the family's 1533-position model. The record is from RNAcentral.
AGGACGAACGCUGACGGCGUGCUUAACACAUGCAAGUCGAGCGGAAAGGCCCUUCGGGGUACUCGAGCGGCGAACGGGUGAGUAACACGUGAGCAACCUGCCCUUGGCUCUGGGAUAGCCUCCGGAAACGGGGAUUAAUACCGGACAUUCACUUUCUCCUGCAUGGGGGGUUGGUGGAAAGUUUUUCGGCCAGGGAGGGGCUCGCGGCCUAUCAGCUUGUUGGCGGGGUAACGGCCCACCAAGGCGACGACGGGUAG